AAAAUCUGAGAUGCUAAAACAGAAGGUUUCAAUCUCUGUUCUCCCACUAAUGAAUUUCUAUGUCCUUGGAAAAACCUUUCGCCUCUAUAUGACUUAUUUUUCCAUAAGGUUAAAAUUAGUGUCUUUUAUUUGUGGCGCAUAAAUGAGUACUUUGCACAUGUGUGAUUUCACUGCUCCUGGGUUGACUUCUUUAUUCGUUUAAUUUUAGGUAAAGAAACAGAGAGGAUCGACACCACAGCGCUGAAGCUUGCCUGAUGGUGCCAGGUCUUGAACCCAGGCUGCACACAUGGCCAGGCACCUGCCCUACCAGGUGGUCCGGGAGGUGGCACAGUGGAUAAACCAUUAGACUCUCAAGCAUGAAAUCCUGAAUUCAGUCUCCAGCAGCACAUGUACCAUAAUGAAGUCUGGUUCUCUCUCUCUCUCUAUCUUUCUCAUGAAUAAAUAAAUAAAUAAAUAAAUACACAUUUCCCAGAUUUACUGAAUUUUACUUUGAGUAGUGCGUGCUUGAAUUUCUACUCCUGAGUGCUUUUCUUAUUUCACCACUGUUCUUUUUUUGGCAGCUGACUGAUUCCAGGCUGCAUGGUGGAAGAGUUCACAUCUCUUUCUUGUCGUUUGUAAGAGAAAUACAGUGGUGUGCAGAAAGUCGUUGUGACUGCAACUUGAAUCUUACCUCCUCCACUUAGCUAGAACUGCGGCCUCCAGGACGUGAGGCUGUCAUCUACAGGGACCCGGCGCACAUUUUAUUCCUCUCAGCCAGCCCUACUUUCUGCCUUCUUUUCUUCUAUAAGGAUGUAAAUCACAUUUUUUUUUCAUCAGUAUGUUUGCAAAUGGUAUUUGGCUUUUGAGUGAUUAUGUGUAUCUGGUAGGGGUUUUCUCUAUUCCUCCUCCUGGGUAGGGUAUAUACCUAUCCAAAUUAACAGAAAAUUGUGGUGACUUUAUAAAGAGUAGCUGUCCACAGGACAGGAGACCUGGUGUGGAAGGUCUGAUUGUUGAUCAGUUAAUACAAACAGAAGGCAGACUAUACUUGACUAUACUGCCCCCCCUUUAUUUUUCAUCACUCCCGGAGAGCUGCAUGAGGAUGAAAACACGGAAGGAAUGACAU
Long non-coding RNA from Erinaceus europaeus (western European hedgehog), 1102 nucleotides. RefSeq lists it as uncharacterized. NCBI's taxonomy places the organism in Eukaryota, Metazoa, Chordata, Mammalia, Eulipotyphla, Erinaceidae. The record is from RefSeq and is a predicted model, not a curated record. The transcript is spliced from 2 exons.